AAAAGUGCUAAACGGGAUGUCCCACCGCCCAGUUCUGGAAAAAAACCUCCGCAAAUUAAUAGUGUUCUGAUGGCCUCCAGGAGCACUGGAUUCAGAAAAGUCAUCGUUGCUUCUGGUAGCUUAAGUAUUGUUGAAGAUAACAAGAAAAUUCAAGUAAUAGAUGAUGAUUCUAUUGCUUUGAAGACUGAGGAUACUGAUUAAGACCAUCUUCUUCAUUUGACUACAUCAGGCUUUUUCAGUUUUUUAUUUUUCUCAGUCUCUUAAUGUAUAGCAGCUUAAACAAAUUGUAAGUUGAUGAUAAUUAAUGGCCAUAUGAAAUUAAUUCUUCUAAUCCCUUUUAACAACAAACAAAAUUAAUUAGUGGUGUUUACUACAUGACAAACAUGACAAAUUUAUUUGCAAAUGAAUUCUACUUGGAAUUCAUUUAC
This 428-nucleotide long non-coding RNA is filed under the name Jatropha curcas. RNAcentral's name for it is "long non-coding RNA (JCUR_LNC002121)". Lineage: Eukaryota; Viridiplantae; Streptophyta; Magnoliopsida; Malpighiales; Euphorbiaceae. The record is from RNAcentral.